CGGACGGGUGAGUAACGCGUGAGAACCUACCCUUAGGAGAGGGAUACCAACUGGAAACGGUUGUUAAUACCUCAUGUGCUGAGGAGUGAAACGGUUUACAAACCGCCUAGGGAUGGGCUUGCGUCUGAUUAGCUAGUUGGUGGGGCAAAGGCCCACCAAGGCGAUGAUCAGUAGCUGGUCUGAGAGGACAAUCAGCCACACUGGGACUGAGACACGGCCCAGACUCCUACGGGAGGCAGCAGUGAGGAAUUUUCCGCAAUGGGCGAAAGCCUGACGGAGCAAUGCCGCGUGGAGGAAGACGGCCCGUGGGUUGUAAACUCCUUUUCUCAGAGAAGAAGUUCUGACGGUAUCUGAGGAAUAAGCAUCGGCUAACUCCGUGCCAGCAGCCGCGGUAAUACGGAGGAUGCAAGCGUUAUCCGGAAUCAUUGGGCGUAAAGGGUCCUGAGGUGGUUUGCCCAGUCUACUGUGAAAGAUCAGGGCUCAACCCUGAAAAUGCGGUGGAAACUAGCAGGCUAGAAUACGGUAGGGGCAGGGGGGAUUCCCGGUGUAGCGGUGAAAUGCAUAGAUAUCGGGAAGAACACCAAUGGCGAAAGCACCCUGCUGGGCCGAUAUUGACACUGACAGACGAAAGCUAGGGGAGCAAAUGGGAUUAGAUACCCCAGUAGUC
Molecule: ribosomal RNA, 667 nt
Filed under: uncultured Chlorophyta
Lineage: Eukaryota; Viridiplantae; Chlorophyta
Description: bacterial SSU rRNA
Rfam family: Bacterial small subunit ribosomal RNA
Source: RNAcentral